AUCAGGUUUUAGUUGUUCAAGUUUGGUUUCCGUGUUCAACUUUUAGGUUAAGACGACCAUUAUUCAUGUGCAGUUUUACUAGUUAAAACUUAAACCGCAAGAAUUAUAUACAACAAUUAGGUGGUAGACCAUACCUAUAAAAAUGAGUAUAUUCUUUUAGGUUUUUUUGCAGAUCAAGUCAGAUCUGAAUAAAUAGUAGGAUACUCUUCGACUUCAUUUUAACAAAUUACCAUGUUUGAAUCUCAUUCAGCUCAAUUAUGAGUCAGUCAAAGUAUUAAUUAAGAUUAAUAGAAAAUAUCAAGCUCUUCAAAUUCAUCUCAUUUUUUCAGCUGGGUUUUUGUGUCAGGGUUUAACAUUGUGCUUGUAUUAGUGUGAGGGAGAGGAAUUUGUGAUUCAUUUGUGCUCAAAACAGUUUUCUGCUGCGGUUGCUACUGUUGUUCGUCGAGGUUUUCUGCUGCUGUUACUGUUGUU
This is a long non-coding RNA of Papaver somniferum (opium poppy), 471 nucleotides long. RefSeq lists it as uncharacterized. The record is from RefSeq and is a predicted model, not a curated record. The transcript is spliced from 3 exons. NCBI's taxonomy places the organism in Eukaryota, Viridiplantae, Streptophyta, Magnoliopsida, Ranunculales, Papaveraceae.